AAUUAAUAAGUUUAUAAACAUGUAUUUUGAAAAUACAAAAGAGAAAUUUAACCUUUCUAUUAAUUU
RNAcentral lists this transfer RNA (66 nucleotides) under Carausius sp. Its description in RNAcentral is "tRNA-Ser". The record is from RNAcentral. Lineage: Eukaryota; Metazoa; Arthropoda; Insecta; Phasmatodea; Lonchodidae.